This 426-nucleotide ribosomal RNA is filed under the name uncultured bacterium. RNAcentral describes it as "bacterial SSU rRNA". It matches the Rfam family "Bacterial small subunit ribosomal RNA", at positions 338 to 757 of the family's 1533-position model. The record is from RNAcentral.
CCUACGGGAGGCAGCAGUAGGGAAUCUUCCACAAUGGGCGAAAGCCUGAUGGAGCAACGCCGCGUGAGUGAUGAAGGCCUUCGGGUUGUAAAACUCUGUCAUUCGGGACGAACCGGAGUCUGAGGAAAUGCAGACUCUCUGACGGUACCGGAGGAGGAAGCCCCGGCUAACUACGUGCCAGCAGCCGCGGUAAUACGUAGGGGGCAAGCGUUGUCCGGAUUCACUGGGCGUAAAGCGCGCGCAGGCGGUGAUGUAAGUCUGAGGUGAAAACCCGAAGCUCAACUUCGGGACUGCCUUGGAUACUGCGUCACUUGAGGAUAGGAGAGGCAAGGGGAAUUCCACGUGUAGCGGUGAAAUGCGUAGAGAUGUGGAGGAACACCUGUGGCGAAGGCGCCUUGCUGGCCUAUUCUGACGCUGGAGNGCGAG